CAGCCGCCGCGGUAAUACGUAGGGUGCAAGCGUUAAUCGGAAUUACUGGGCGUAAAGCGUGCGCAGGCGGUUCGUUAAGACAGAUGUGAAAUCCCCGGGCUUAACCUGGGAACUGCAUUUGUGACUGGCGGGCUAGAGUAUGGCAGAGGGGGGUAGAAUUCCACGUGUAGCAGUGAAAUGCGUAGAUAUGUGGAGGAAUACCGAUGGCGAAGGCAGCCCCCUGGGAUAACACUGACGCUCAUGCACGAAAGCGUGGGGAGCAAACAGGAUUAGAUACCCGAGUAGUCCCUGUCUCUUAUAA
This 301-nucleotide ribosomal RNA is filed under the name uncultured bacterium. RNAcentral describes it as "partial 16S ribosomal RNA". It matches the Rfam family "Bacterial small subunit ribosomal RNA", at positions 509 to 809 of the family's 1533-position model. The record is from RNAcentral.